GUCUACAGCCAUGCCACCCUGAACAAGCCUAAUCCCAUCUGAUCUCGGAAGCUUAACCAAGCUUAGGGUCAGGCUUGGUUAGUACUUGGAUAAGAGACCACUUAGGAAGACCAGGUGCUGUAGGCA
RNAcentral lists this ribosomal RNA (126 nucleotides) under Pteropus alecto (black flying fox). Lineage: Eukaryota; Metazoa; Chordata; Mammalia; Chiroptera; Pteropodidae. The record is from RNAcentral.